UGAGCUGUCAGCACAGAGCCCGACGUGGGGCUCAAACUCACAAAUCCUGAGAUCAUGACCUGAGCCAAAGUGGGACACUUAAGUGACUGAGCUACCAAGUCGCCCCACCCCCUACUGUUUCCUUUUUGAGGGCCAGGCAGGGCAGAAGUCAAUGACAUGAUACCCAUUCCUUCCGCACCACCAAGGAGGAGUUGGGUGUAAGCAUGUGACUCUUUCCAGGUCCUCAAAGCCCAUGCGUUCUGCCCCAGAGCCCCUGACUCCUGCUUGGCCCUCCUUCCUCCCAGGUUAUGGAGGCAACCAGCCUUCCAUCCACGUUGGGGUCAUGGCUGGGCCACCAAGGGCUCAAAAUCUGGCUGUCCACAUGCUUCCCUGCGGUGGCUGGGAACAGCCGUGCUCCAGUAAAGGUCAGCAUGAGCAGCUUCUCUAAACAGGAUUCUCAUCCACUGUGAUCAGGGCCUGAGCUAAAACAUGACAGGGGAGAGGGGGACACAGGAGAUGUGGUGCCGUUUCCUGGACAGGGCUGCACAGAGCAGAAGGCCGAGGGCUGCUAAUCUCUGGAUUCUGGAUGGUAGGUGAGCAGUUUAAAACACCACAGCCUUCUCUUAGAUCAAAAGAGAAACCUAUAUCUUCACCCAGCCUUCCUCUGAUAUGAAGAGAUGGCAAUUAUUAUUUGAAGGCACAAUUAUCUACCUAUGAGUCUGAUGGAAAUGAUUUCAUCCAUCUUCGUCCCUAAAGCACUUUUCAUUGAAAUUACCCAUAUAGAGGCAGGAAAUUUAUACCAGAUGUGUAGCUCCCUCUAGAUGCACAUUCUGACCUUGUCCCAUUUGUGUCCUCAAAGACAUUACUGACAAGAAAAAUAAGCUCUCAACAUCAAGAUGUUGACGUUAGAGAAUGUGGUAUAAAUGGAAUUUCAUAUGUUCUCAAUUAGAAAUAAUUUUUGAUGGUGAAGGAGAAAUUAAAAAUUUUGUCAUUUUUAAUUGAAAUAUAGGAGACUCACCAUGUUGUAUCAGUUUCAGGCAUAUAUCAUGGUGAUUCCGUGUGUAUACAUUACGCUCUCCAGGUACCUAAGGGUAGCUAUAUUGCGAAAGCAUGCAACGCUUUCUUACAGGAUUGACGCUAUUCUAUGGGCUGUACCUUGGAUCCCAAUGAGUUAUUCAUUCCAUAGCUGGAAGCCUGUAUCUCUUUCUCAGAGGUGUCAACUUUUUUAUUUAACCCAAGUAUUAUGGUGCUAAACACCAUAAUCUGUAGGUCAGCAGGUGUCUAUUUCUGUGAAUGCUGCUUAAAGCAUUACACAUGAUAUCAUUACGUCAAUAAAUUCGGUUUCAUUCUUCACUCAGUAAAAAGGAGAAGGAAAAGGUUUCUUCGUGUCCCAAGCAAGCCCUUCGGUAAGACCCUUCCCGAUCAGGAGAACAGGCUUCACUGGACCAGCUGCACUCUCAGUACUUCCAGCUGAGCAGCCAUGGCCUUGAGCAUUGCGGAAUUCCCAUGGCGGCCGGCAGAGGGCGCGCACGCACCACGCCCAGGGAGGGGCCGGGCCUCUGCGUGGGCAGUGAUGGCCUGAGAAGGCGCCCACUAACCAGGCUUUUCUGAUCCAGGGCGCCUCGGGGCUGGGAAGGCUUCCUUGCUUCUGAGGACCCAGUGCCUCUGAGUGUGGGCAAAGAGCCAGAGCUGCGUUUCCAGCAGGUUCCGUCCCCGGGCCUGGGGGAGACCCUGGAGGCUUCGCAGCCCCUUGGCGUCUCCUAGGUGGUGGGGCUGAGUCCCGAGGCGGGGGAGGCAGGGCCUGGGCGGCUUCCCCGGAAGCGCGGGUGGUCGGUUGGCGGCACAGUCCCUCGCUUUUUCUGGGCUGUUCCGUGGUUUGUUCCUCAUUUCCCCUGCCGGUAUUUCCCUGGAGGAUCCGUGGAUUCAUGGGAUCCCGUGACGCCAUGUCAGAGAGGCUGGGGUUGGUUUGUUCCAGGUCAGGCCUCUUUCGGGGGAGAAAGCCUGACCCAAAUUCGGAGGAACAGGAGGCGCAUUCAGUUGGGAAGUGAAGCCGCCAAAUGUUGACUCUCAGGACCUUCUAGAAGAAGGAGCUGAGACCCACUCUCCGAGUCCUGCCGGAACCAGAGCGAGAGAUGAAAACACAAUGUGCCCUCCACAUCGCACAUGCUUUUAUGAACUUUCAGUGGGGAUUUUUUCCCAACAAUGUUGUAGUCGUUGGAAACAACUGGAAACCUGACAGGUAUGUUGUGUCGGGAACCGCCCGUUUCUUGAAUGUUCAAUAUUAUUCCUGCAACAGAAUUUGUUACAGUUAUCCUCUCUUCUCUUCUUUGGAAGGAAUCUCAUCAAUAAUAUCUUAAAAACAUCCUCGUUACCUUAUCCCCUUUUCAGUUGAGAUUUGGCAUGUUUUCUGAUUUCUCAUGAACUCGUGAACAUCUGAAAUACUUUUAAAUUGAUUGCAGUUUUACUAAAAGCAGAUUCACGGCGUCCCUCCCAGACUGCUCAUGGUCAAAGAACAUACCAAGGCCACUUCUCAGUAUGGUCAGAGAUUCACAGACCUGCCUGAGUUUUACAUUCACCACACAUACUUUCAAGGCUCCUUUCUGUCCCUGUAAGAAAGAAGACAGACCUUCUGAUGCGCAG
Molecule: long non-coding RNA, 2619 nt
Organism: Felis catus (domestic cat)
Lineage: Eukaryota; Metazoa; Chordata; Mammalia; Carnivora; Felidae
Exons: 2
Source: RefSeq, a predicted model, not a curated record